GUGGGGAAUUGUUCACAAUGGGCGCAAGCCUGAUGACGCAACGCCGCGUGGAGGAUGAAGGUCUUCGGAUUGUAAACUCCUGUUGCCCGGGACGAAAAGCUUCGACCUAACACGUCGAAGUCUGACGGUACCGGGUGAGGAAGCCCCGGCUAACUCUGUGCCAGCAGCCGCGGUAAUACAGAGGGGGCAAGCGUUGUUCGGAAUUACUGGGCGUAAAGGGCGCGUAGGUGGCCUUCUAAGUUGAACGUGAAAUCCCUGGGCUCAACCCAGGAACUGCGUCCAAGACUGGGAGGCUUGAAUCCGGGAGAGGGAUGCGGAAUUCCAGGUGUAGCGGUGAAAUGCGUAGAUAUCUGGAGGAACACCGGUGGCGAAGGCGGCAUCCUGGACCGGUAUUGACACUGAGGCGCGAAAGCCAGGGGAGCAAACGGGAUUAGAAACCCUAGUAGUCC
This 449-nucleotide ribosomal RNA is filed under the name uncultured bacterium. Its description in RNAcentral is "bacterial SSU rRNA". It matches the Rfam family "Bacterial small subunit ribosomal RNA", at positions 354 to 796 of the family's 1533-position model. The record is from RNAcentral.